This 467-nucleotide ribosomal RNA is filed under the name uncultured bacterium. Its description in RNAcentral is "partial 16S ribosomal RNA". It matches the Rfam family "Bacterial small subunit ribosomal RNA", at positions 28 to 507 of the family's 1533-position model. The record is from RNAcentral.
GAUGAACGCUGACAGCAUGCUUAACACAUGCAAGUCAACUUGAAUUUGGGUUUUUAACUUAGGUUUGGGUGGCGGACGGGUGAGUAACGCGUAAAGAACUUGCCUCACAGCUAGGGACAACAUUUGGAAACGAAUGCUAAUACCUCAUAUUAUGAUAAUAGGGCAUCCUAUAAUUAUGAAAGCUAUAAGCGCUGUGAGAGAGCUUUGCGUCCCAUUAGCUAGUUGGGGAGGUAACGGCUCACCAAGGCGAUGAUGGGUAGCCGGCCUGAGAGGGUGAUCGGCCACAAGGGGACUGAGACACGGCCCUUACUCCUACGGGAGGCAGCAGGGGGGAAUAUUGGACAAUGGACCGAGAGUGUGAUCCAGCAAUUCUGUGUGCACGAUGAAGUUUUUCGGAAUGUAAAGUGCUUUCAGUUGAGAAGAAACAAAUGACGGUACCAACAGAAGAAGUGACGGCUAAAUACGUG